This 1675-nucleotide ribosomal RNA is filed under the name human gut metagenome. RNAcentral's name for it is "bacterial LSU rRNA". It matches the Rfam family "Bacterial large subunit ribosomal RNA", at positions 847 to 2533 of the family's 2925-position model. The record is from RNAcentral.
UGCUCGUACUCUCCGAAAUUCAUUUAGGUGCAGCCUCUGUUGUUUUGUUCUAGAGGUAGAGCUACUGAUUGGAUGCGAGGGCUUCACCGCCUAUCAAAUCCGGCCAAACUCCGAAUGCUAGAACAUGAAGACAGGGAGUGAGCCAGCGGGUGCUAAGGUCCGUUGACGAAAGAGGGAGAACUCAGACCAUCAGCUAAGGUCCCCAAUUAUAUGCUAAGUUGGAAUAAAAACGGGGUGGGACUGCUUAGACAGCUAGGAUGUUGGCUUGGAAGCAGCCAUUCAUUUAAAGAGUGCGUAACAGCUCACUAGUCGAGCGGUCCUGCAUGGAUAAUACGCGGGCAUAAGCAUAUAACCGAAGCUAUGGGAUUGUAGAUGAUACAAUCGGUAGGAGAGCAUUCCAUUCAGCAUAGAAGCAGUACCGUGAGGUAUUGUGGAGCGGAUGGAAAAGCAAAUGUAGGCAUAAGUAACGAUAAUGCGGGUGAGAACCCCGCACGCCGAAAGAUCAAGGAUUCCCCGGCAAUGUCAAUCAUCCGGGGGUAAGUCGGAUCCUAAGGGUAAGCCGAGUGGCGAUCCCGAUGGCAAACAGGUUAAUAUUCCUGUACUGAUCAUAACUGCGAUGCAGCGACGCAGAGGUGACACUGCUGCGUACUGACGGAAUAGUACGUUGAAACCCGUAUUCUUUGAUACCGGUAGUGAAGCACGCCGGUAGAGAUGAAAGGUGAUAGUACCGCAAUGCUUCGGUUGCGCGGAUAAUGCAGGUAAGCUGACUGCCAAGAAAACCUGCUAAGCUUCAGGUAAUGAUCAUCCGUACUGUAAACGGACACACGUGAUCAGGUAGAAAAUACUAAGGCGCUCGAGAGAUUCAUGGUUAAGGAACUAGGCAAAAUGGUCCUGUAACUUCGGGAUAAAGGACGCUCUUGUGAAAGAGCCGCAGAUAAUAGGCCCAGGCGACUGUUUACCAAAAACACAUGGCUAUGCUAAUUCGCAAGAAGAUGUAUAUGGCCUGACACCUGCCCGGUGCCGGAAGGUUAAGAGGAGAGCUCAGAUGUAAGUCGAAGGUUUGAAUUGAAGCCCCGGUAAACGGCGGCCGUAACUAUAACGGUCCUAAGGUAGCGAAAUUCCUUGUCGGGUAAGUUCCGACCUGCACGAAUGGUGUAACGAUCUGGGUACUGUCUCAACCAUGAGCUCGGUGAAAUUGUAGUUCCGGUGAAGAUGCCGGAUACCCGCAACGGGACGGAAAGACCCCGUGAACCUUUACUGCAGCUUUGCAUUGAUUUUGGGUAACAGAUGUGUAGGAUAGGUCGGAGGCUUUGAUGCUGCGUCGUCAGGCGUAGAGUAGCCGUCGUUGAAAUACGACCCUUUUGUUAUCUGAGGUCUAAUCCCGUUAGGGAGACAUUGCAUGGUGGGUAGUUUGACUGGGGUGGUCGCCUCCAAAAGUGUAACGGAGGCUUCUCAAGGUACCCUCAAGGCGUUUGGUAAUCGUCUGCAGAGUGCAAUGGCAUAAGGGUGCUUGACUGUGAGACCGACACGUCGAUCAGGUUGGAAACAAGAGCAUAGUGAUCCGGUGGUUCCGCAUGGAAGGGCCAUCGCUCAAAGGAUAAAAGGUACUCCGGGGAUAACAGGCUGAUCGCUCCCAAGAGCUCAUAUCGACGGAGCGGUUUGGCACCUCGAUGUC